CGCGCGCUACAAUGAUACACACAACGAGUUUUCCUUGUCCGAAAGGUCCGGGUAAUCUUUAUCAAUGCGUAUCGUAAUAGGGAUAGAUUUUUGCAAUUCUGAAUCUUGAACGAGGAAUUCCUAGUAAAUGCGGGUCAUCAGCUCGCGUUGAUUACGUCCCUGCCCUUUGUACACACCGCCCGUCGCACCUACCGAUUGAAUGGUUCGGUGAAAAUCUCGGACUGUGGUUCGGAUGCCUUCGGGCAACUGAGUUGCGGGAAGUUAUUUAAACCUCAUCAUUUAGAGGAAGGUGAAGUCGUAACAAGGUUUCCGUAGGUGAACCUGCGGAAGGAUCAUUACCACACC
RNAcentral lists this ribosomal RNA (345 nucleotides) under Paraphysomonas sp. Its description in RNAcentral is "bacterial SSU rRNA". It matches the Rfam family "Eukaryotic small subunit ribosomal RNA", at positions 1492 to 1831 of the family's 1831-position model. The record is from RNAcentral. Lineage: Eukaryota; Chrysophyceae; Chromulinales; Paraphysomonadaceae.